Molecule: ribosomal RNA, 507 nt
Filed under: uncultured bacterium
Lineage: Bacteria
Description: partial 16S ribosomal RNA
Rfam family: Bacterial small subunit ribosomal RNA
Source: RNAcentral
GACGAACGCUGGCGGCGUGCCUAAUACAUGCAAGUCGAACGCAUUUUCUUUCACCGUAGCUUGCUACACCGAAAGAAAAUGAGUGGCGAACGGGUGAGUAACACGUGGGUAACCUGCCCAUCAGCGGGGGAUAACACUUGGAAACAGGUGCUAAUACCGCAUAAUUCCAUUUACCGCAUGGUAGAUGGGUGAAAGGCGCUUUUGCGUCACUGAUGGAUGGACCCGCGGUGCAUUAGCUAGUUGGUGGGGUAACGGCCUACCAAGGCUGCGAUGCAUAGCCGCCCGGAGAGGGUGAUCGGCCACACUGGGACGGGGACACGGCCCAGACUCCUACGGGAGGCAGCAGUAGGGAAUCUUCGGCAAUAGACGCAAGUCUGACCGAGCAACGCCGCGUGAGUGAAGAAGGUUUUCGGAUCGUAAAACUCUGUUGUUAGAGAAGAACAAGGAUGAGAGUGGAAAGUUCAUCCCUUGACGGUAUCUAACCAGAAAGCCACGGCUAACUACGUG